AUUUGGCGGACGGGUGAGUAACGAUUGGAAAACGGACUAAUACCCCAUAAAACAGGGAUCCCGCAUGGGAAUAUUUGUUAAAGAUUUAUCGGUUGUAGAUGGGCAUGCGUUCCAUUAGCUAGUUGGUGAGGUAACGGCUCACCAAGGCAACGAUGGAUAGGGGAACUGAGAGGUUUAUCCCCCACACUGGUACUGAGACACGGACCAGACUCCUACGGGAGGCAGCAGUGAGGAAUAUUGGUCAAUGGACGCAAGUCUGAACCAGCCACGUCGCGUGAAGGAAGACGGCCCUACGGGUUGUAAACUUCUUUUGUAAGGGAAUAAAGUGUAGUACGUGUACUAUUUUGCAUGUACCUUACGAAUAAGGAUCGGCUAACUCCGUGCCAGCAGCCGCGGUAAUAAUCACUG
RNAcentral lists this ribosomal RNA (408 nucleotides) under uncultured Porphyromonadaceae bacterium. RNAcentral's name for it is "bacterial SSU rRNA". It matches the Rfam family "Bacterial small subunit ribosomal RNA", at positions 127 to 530 of the family's 1533-position model. The record is from RNAcentral. Lineage: Bacteria; Pseudomonadati; Bacteroidota; Bacteroidia; Bacteroidales; Porphyromonadaceae.